GUAACACGUAGAUAAUCUAUCCUAUACUGGGGGAUAGCCCGAUGAAAGUUGGAUUAAUACCGCAUAUAGCUAUAUAGUUGCAUGAUUAUGUAGUGAAAGAUUUAUUGGUAUAGGAGGAGUCUGCGGCACAUUAGCUAGUAGGUGAGGUAAAGGCUUACCUAGGCGACGAUGUGUAGCCGGUCUGAGAGGAUGAACGGCCACAAUGGAACUGAGACACGGUCCAUACUCCUACGGGAGGCAGCAGUGGGGAAUAUUGCACAAUGGGGGAAACCCUGAUGCAGCAACGCCGCGUGAGUGAAGAAGGUUUUCGGAUUGUAAAGCUCUGUUAGCAGGGAAGAGGAAGGACGGUACCUGCAGAGGAAGCCACGGCUAACUACGUGCCAGCAGCCGCGGUAAUACGUAGGUGGCAAGCGUUGUUCGGAAUAACUGGGCGUAAAGGAUGCGUAGGCGGUUAAACAAGUUAUAUGUUAAAUAUAUAGGCUUAACCUGUAGAAAGCAUAUAAAACUGUUUAACUAGAGUGCAGGAGAGGUAAGUGGAAUUCCUAGUGUAGCGGUGAAAUGCGUAGAGAUUAGGAAGAACACCAGUGGCGAAGGCGACUUACUGGACUGUAACUGACGCUGAGGCAUGAGAGCAUGGGGAGCAAACAGGAUUAGAUACCCUGGUAGUCCAUGCUGUAAACGAUGGGUACUAGGUGUGGGUUGUGAAUAACAAUUCGUGCCGUCGC
RNAcentral lists this ribosomal RNA (725 nucleotides) under uncultured bacterium. RNAcentral describes it as "bacterial SSU rRNA". It matches the Rfam family "Bacterial small subunit ribosomal RNA", at positions 110 to 852 of the family's 1533-position model. The record is from RNAcentral.